AGAGUUUGAUCCUGGUUCAGAUUGAACGCUGGCGGCAGGCCUAACACAUGCAAGUCGAGCGGUAGAGAGAAGCUUGCUUCUCUUGAGAGCGGCGGACGGGUGAGUAAUGCCUAGGAAUCUGCCUGGUAGUGGGGGAUAACGUUCGGAAACGGACGCUAAUACCGCAUACGUCCUACGGGAGAAAGCAGGGGACCUUCGGGCCUUGCGCUAUCAGAUGAGCCUAGGUCGGAUUAGCUAGUUGGUGGGGUAAUGGCUCACCAAGGCGACGAUCCGUAACUGGUCUGAGAGGAUGAUCAGUCACACUGGAACUGAGACACGGUCCAGACUCCUACGGGAGGCAGCAGUGGGGAAUAUUGGACAAUGGGCGAAAGCCUGAUCCAGCCAUGCCGCGUGUGUGAAGAAGGUCUUCGGAUUGUAAAGCACUUUAAGUUGGGAGGAAGGGUUGUAGAUUAAUACUCUGCAAUUUUGACGUUACCGACAGAAUAAGCACCGGCUAACUCUGUGCCAGCAGCCGCGGUAAUACAGAGGGUGCAAGCGUUAAUCGGAAUUACUGGGCGUAAAGCGCGCGUAGGUGGUUUGUUAAGUUGGAUGUGAAAUCCCCGGGCUCAACCUGGGAACUGCAUUCAAAACUGACUGACUAGAGUAUGGUAGAGGGUGGUGGAAUUUCCUGUGUAGCGGUGAAAUGCGUAGAUAUAGGAAGGAACACCAGUGGCGAAGGCGACCACCUGGACUAAUACUGACACUGAGGUGCGAAAGCGUGGGGAGCAAACAGGAUUAGAUACCCUGGUAGUCC
Molecule: ribosomal RNA, 793 nt
Filed under: uncultured bacterium
Lineage: Bacteria
Description: bacterial SSU rRNA
Rfam family: Bacterial small subunit ribosomal RNA
Source: RNAcentral